UGGAUUUUGUGCUAGGAAGUUGCUCGGGAAAAAUAUGCUUCUGUGACCAUAACUCAGGCUGUUAUUGUUUAACCAUGUAAGGAUUAAAUUAGAUCGAACAAAUAAAUCUACCUACCAACUUUUUAACUUAUACUCUGGGUCUGGGGGAUCCUUCAGCGUGCAAGUUAAAACCACAUUUCAAAAUCCAAAUAUGUUGAUUCAAGACUGAACCAACACUACAAGACAUGAUUUUUCUCAUAAAGAUACCAAGUUAAUAAGGGUAAAUGAUGGCAAUAAAAAUAAACUAGGAAGGGUUAUCAUCAAUAACCUAUUUAACCAUGACCAGUUGACUCAAAAUGUAGAAACCUUGACCACAAAAGAAGCACAAGUAAAAAAAUGUGAGUUUUAGUACAUGAUAUACGACAAUAACUAAAGUCCUAGGUAAAUUAUAAAAUUCAUAGGAGGAUUGUG
Molecule: unclassified non-coding RNA, 450 nt
Filed under: Hevea brasiliensis (rubber tree)
Lineage: Eukaryota; Viridiplantae; Streptophyta; Magnoliopsida; Malpighiales; Euphorbiaceae
Source: RNAcentral